This is a small nuclear RNA of Bos taurus (domestic cattle), 79 nucleotides long. Its record names the gene U2. It matches the Rfam family "U2 spliceosomal RNA". From Rfam's summary of the family: U2 is a small nuclear RNA (snRNA) component of the spliceosome (involved in pre-mRNA splicing). The record is from Ensembl. NCBI's taxonomy places the organism in Eukaryota, Metazoa, Chordata, Mammalia, Artiodactyla, Bovidae.
AUCACUUCUCGGCCUUUUGGCUAAGAUCAAGUGUAGUAUUUUUGAAAAGUAAUUGUAGGUCAUAAAAAUGAAAAUUAAA